This is a long non-coding RNA of Ictalurus punctatus (channel catfish), 6458 nucleotides long. RefSeq lists it as uncharacterized. The transcript has 8 exons. NCBI's taxonomy places the organism in Eukaryota, Metazoa, Chordata, Actinopteri, Siluriformes, Ictaluridae. The record is from RefSeq and is a predicted model, not a curated record.
CACACACACACACACACACACACAAACAGAAAAACAUGCAAAUCCAUGCAAGCAGUCAUGAGUUGAAUUUGUUUAAACGUGGCAAAAUUCGGAUCGGGCGCCAAUACUUUCAAGAGCCGCCCGCAUAGGGUGCCAAUACUUCCGAGAGCCAGCCGCUAAUGGUGCCAAUACUUUUGAGAGCCGGCCGUGUAGGGUGCCAAUACUUUCGAGAGCCGGACACGUAGGGCGCCAAUACUUUUGAGAGCCAGACACAUCGGGUACCAAUACUUUUGAGAGCCAUUGGCGUCCGGCGCCAAUACUUUUGAGAGCCGGACUCAUAGGUCACCAAUACUUUUGAGAGCCAGACGCAUAGGGAGCCAAUACUUUCGGGAGCCGGAGGCACAGGGCACCAAUACUUUUGAGAGACGGCCGUGUAGUGUAGCUAUAAUUUUUAGAGCCGGCCAUGUAGGGUGAAAAUACUUUGGAGAGCCAGCCAUGCGGGGUUCCAAUACUUUUGAGAGCCUUCCAGAUAGGGCACGAAUACUUCUGAGAGCCGGCCUUUAAAUUCUUUCGCAACUCAAUGCAAGUCUAUGGGAAAUUUUCCGACUUUGAGCUUCCGUACCAGGAAUCCCGGCAUUCCGAUCGCUUCCAAAAGUCAUAGCACACCUCUCCUCAAUAAGCCGAUCGAUUUGACACCUCACCCGCCGAUCUCCGACAAAUGCAUUCGAGAGCCAAAAGCGUAGGGCGCCAAUACUUUCAAGUGCCGGACACUAAGGGCGCCAAUACUUUCGAGAGCCGGACAGAUAGGGCGUCAGCAUUGUUAGAGCCGUCCGUAUAGUGCGCCAAUACUUUUUAGAGCCGACCGUCAAGGGCACCAGUACUUUUCAGAGUUGGCUGUGUGGGGUGCCAAUACUUUUGAGCGCCGGCCGGGUAGGGUGCCAAUACUUCUGAGAGCCGAACAGAUCGUGUGCUAACACAUUUUAGUACCUCCUCAAUCAACUCCACUUCUCAAUGCCCAUGACUUACUUUAACAGAAAGGGGAAAAAAAUGCAGAGAGAUGGACUAUGGCUGUUACAGAAGAUAUGUCAAAUUACCAUUCACUCCCACAGUAAGUUUAAUACAAACUUGUCACUUUUGACUUUUUUCACUUUUAAUUUAAAAUGAUGCAAAGUAUGGGAUUAUUAUUAUUAUCAUUCUUUUUUAAAUAAUAAUAAUGAAAAAAUAGAUUUAUUACUUUAAACGGAUUUGCCUCAUCACAAAAGACUGUGUAAAGGAUCCACACCGAAGGUGUGAUUCUAUUGGCUGUAGAAUCAAAACUUGCUCCUGAUUGGCUGGAAAAACGACAACCUGGAGCUGUUGCUGAGCGUUCGUCCCACUCUUCUCUUGAGACUGACUGAUCAGUGCACAACUUGCAUUUUUCACUGCACCUUGGUUCCUUGCGUUUUGGCUUUUUCUACAGAGAGCAGUUCAUUGUUACUAUACCUUUUAUUGUUCUUUUAUUGAAAAAAAAAAAACCUAAAAAAAACCUAAAAAAAAUUGUUUACUGCAUUUUACAAGUUAUAUUUACACAGUGUCUAUUUCAUUGUUGCUUGACUGUUUUUUCUUCCUGAGACUACUUUGCAGGUUUUAUUCUUUCAGGCUCAACAGCUGUUACAUCAGGACAGAACUUUCAAAGAUGCCACGUAAAGGAAAUAGACCUCAGGCUCAAAAAAUGCGUUGGAGAAAGGUGGACCUGGAAAAUGAACAGGUUCAACAGCCAAGUGUCAAUGCUGCUGUUGCUCAGUUUUCUGAUGGAUUGUGUGUAGAAGGUGGUGAUAGUGCACUCAUAGUUUUGUCUGUGCAGGCAUCUCAUUGUCAGAGUGAUGUAAGGUACAAUGUCUAUUCCAGAAAUCAUCAGUGCACAUGUGUAGCGCUGACAUUCUUGGCCUACUACAGUGAAGGGAUUCAGUUCGAGAUGCCUAACCUUGAUGGAGUUUUAGAGGAGGGGGAUGCUUUGUAUGUCGGUGUUAAAAUGCAGCUUCGUGCCGAAGGAAGGUUUGGUCAGGAUCAUCUGACUAUGGAGGAAGUACCGCUGAGUGUUUCAACGUUUAACCGAACACAUCAUGUGCGGAAGUCUGAAGUGAUGCUGGGAUACCUGAGAGCCAGAGGGACCCUUGACAUGGAAGGGUGGUGGAUUCCUCGUACUGAAAAACUGCAGUGUCUCUUAACUGAUGUCAGUCAUGCACUGCUCAUUGUUGCUCCAGAUUGUAUUGCUGUGUUCAGAGACAGAUCUGGAAGGUAUGGGUUCUUUGAUUCACACUCAAGAACUGCCGACAGGUUGCCCCAUCCUACUGGUGUUGGUACUGCAGUCAUGUUAACUUUUAUGCACCUAAGUGACAUGAUUGACAGAAUUCUCAAGCUCUUCUGGGAUUGUGGUGAUGAGGCCAGCUAUGAAUUCAUGCCUGUGUCAUUUGAACCGGAGCAACAAUCUGGAAAACUGCCUUCACCGUCAGCUUGUGAACCAGUGUCAAUGUUGGAGCUGAAAAUAUUGUUCCCCCAGAAGCCGAAAACCAGCAGAUGAUAGUUAAAAAAAAUAAGCACAGGAGAAGAAAAGACAUGUGUAAAGCAAUUAACAUUUUAAAACAAUGUGGAGGACCUAAGGACACAACUGCAUAUCAUGUCAUGAGAAAGCAAAAAAAGGGGAAUUAUGAUAGAAAUGGGUAUAUACAAUUCCGGACAAGUAAAAAAGAAGCUGUUAAGGAAAAAUACAAUCAGGAUCCUCAAUUCAGAAACAACAAGAAAGAUUACAUGGCUAGAUGGUACAAAAUGGAUGAGGUUGUUCAGGCAAAGAAGAAAGAGUAUAUCGUGAGGAGGUACAUCACGGAUACUGUCUUCCAGAACAAAAUGAAAGACUACAUGGUCAAGAGAUAUGCAGGUGACUCAGAGUUCGGAGCACAUCACAUACUAAGAUGCAUUGUUCAAUUCCAAUGUGAUUUUGCUGAAGCGUGAUCCAAAGGAGUCUUGGGUGAAUGGAUACAAUCCCAAUUUGUUGAGGGCAUGGAAUGCUAACAUGGACAUUCAGUACAUUCUGGAGCCCUUUAGCUGCAUCAUGUACGUUUUGUCAUAUAUUUCUAAGCCAAGCCAGAGCACGAAAUGAACGAUUUGCUGAAGAACGUAAUCAAGCGUGUGCGUGAAAAAAGCGUUAACGAGGAAGAUGAAAUGAAGCACAUAAUGCAGGCCUACUCCAAACACAGGCAAGUAAGUGCUCAGGAGUCUGUGGCACGAAGGUGCAGCUUACCGAUGAAGUGUUCAUGGAGCGUUGUGUUUAUACCGACGGAUGAUGAUGCGCUGGAGAUGAGUCUUCCCCUUAGUGUCCUGCAAAACAAACAUCCUGAUUCAGAGGAUGUCUGGAUGUCAGGGAUAAUGGAUAAAUACAGAGCAAGGCCUCAAACACGGGAGUUUGAAAAGCUGUGUCUGGCAUGUGUGGAGCGUCGUACACAGCGUGGUUUCCUGAUGCCUGUUCGUGCCAUAGUGAAAGCACACCAGGAGAAGUUCGAAAAACACCGCAACAAAGUGGAUAAGGCUUUUGAUCAGCUGCAACAGCAAGGACCAUCUGAGAACGCAUGGACUGCUUUUGCACCUGAAAUUGAAGUGGAUCGUUUGGAGUGCAUGGCAGAACAAGAAGACAUCAAUACAGGCGACGAGAAUGUAGAAGAUGAUAUCCCAGAAUAUCAGAUUCUGCAAGACUGAGAUGGAGUCGUGCCACAAAUAGAGGCACCACAAUUGACUAUUGAAUUUGUUAGGAAGUUGUUCAGAAGUCUAAUUGAGAUGCAGGCAGCCAUAUUUUACACUGUCUGCCAGUGGUGUCAGAAGCGUGUGUGGGGACAUAAUCCAGAACCAUUUUUUUACUUUGUAUCAGGUGGUGCUGGUUGUGGCAAAUCGCACGUGAUUAAGUGCAUCUACACUGAGGCGUCCAAGAUUCUGCAACAACUGCCUCGACUCCGGGAGCAAGGGGAUCUCUCCAUACCUACAGUGCUAUUGAGUGCAUUUACUGGAACAGCAGCAUUCAAUAUUUUUGGUCAAACGCUGCAUUCCAUUUUAAAACUUCCGAAGAAUGUAAACCCACCAUAUCAAGGACUUGGAAAUUCCCUAGAUGAACUACGUGCUAGAUUACGCGACGUGGAGAUUCUGAUCAUUGAUGAAGUGUCCAUGAUUUCGAAGGAACUUUUUGCCUACGUAAACUAGAGAUUUCAGCAGCUCAAAGGCAGCAAGAAACCUUUUCGGGGAAUCCCUGUCCUCGCUGUGGGAGACUUUCACCAACUACCGCCUCUUGGUAAAGCCAAACCACUCUGCGUGUACGAAGAGGAUGUUUUGGACUUCUGGAAAGACCAUUUCCAAAUGGUUACCCUCUCGGAGAUCACACAUCAGAAAGAAGACCUUGCUUUUGCCCAACUUCUGAACCGACUACGAGUGAAGCAGAAGACCGAAGCUCUUGGUGAAGAAGAUAGGGCUUUGUUACUCCAGGCUGUGAAGAACCCCAAAGACUGCCCAUGUGAUGCACUGCACAUAUUUGCCACAAACAAGGAAGUUCAUGGACACAAUACAAAAACGAUACACGCUCUUCACGCUGAUGUCAUAACCGUUGAUGCCGACGACUACAGGAAAGACCCAAGAACAGGAGGCAUGAAGAGACUAAAAAAGCCUGUCAUUGGAAAAAAGGACGACUUGCUUGACACCAUACCAAUUGCAGUGGGAGUAUGCAUAAUGGUGACUAGGAAUCUGGCUUUUGAAGAUGGACUUGUUAAUGGAUGUUUCGGUAAGAUUGCAAAUAUUGUCACUGAAACAAAAGAUGGAAUCCCUACCAUACAGAUGCUAGGACUUCAGCCCAAACGCAGGCAAGAAACACCGCAGCAGGGUUCAAGGUGAAGAAGACAAUUUGGUUUAUAUUGGGAGAUCUGAAGAACAUCUAAGUAAAGGAGCAGUUCGUUGACAAUUCCCCAUCAAGUUAGCCUAUUCCUGCACAGCUCACAAAGUUCAAGGCAUGCCACUGCAGAAGGCCGUAGUGUCUCUGAAGAAGAUUUUUGAGCCAGGAAUGGCAUAUGUUGCCCUCAGCAGAAUGACUUCACUUUGUGGAUUACAAGUUAUGGACUUCAGUGAAAACAAGAUUUAUGCCAAUCCUGCAGUCACAGCCUCAUUGCAAAAUAUGACGCAAGCAUCAUUCAAAGGAAUCAUGCCACUUUUGCAGCAAAUGAGGGAAAACAACAUGGAUGAAACACUCAAUCAUUCAACACAACAUGGAAGGCCUGUCAUUCCACAUCGAAGAUGUCAGAUGCCAUCAUGAACUUCUACUGUCGGAUAUUCUUUGUGUAACGGAAACUCACCUAAUUGGAUCAUUCGUUACACCCCAUCUCCAAUUGGAAGGCUACAACCUAUUUGUGCGUAACAGACAUGCCUCCUACUCAACACAUCAAGAAAUUGCCAAGAAAGAUGGAGGUGGAGUCACAAUAUAUUGCAAAAAGCAUAUUUUAGCUCAGCCUAGGCAAUAUAUACAAAAUGUGACUGAUCUGGAGUUUGUUGUCAUCAAAAUCGAUAGUCCAACGAAAGCAACAAUUGCUGUUGUGUACAGGCCACCACACUAUGGUUUUGAAGAGUUCUUGGAAAAACUUGAAGAGCCUGUUGGAUUAUUUGGACAUGAUGGACAAACAUCCUGUCGUUGUCUGCGGAGACUUUAAUGAGGACCUCCUAUGCGCAGGGAAUAAAAAGUUCUGGAAUUAUUUAAAUCUAAAGGAUACAUUCAACUGAUCACCACAGCAACAACAAAAAAGCACACGCUCCUGGAUCACAUUUACAUCUCUCAUCCGGAUUUGUGCCUUCAAUCGGAACUGGGACACGCAUUAAUGGUGCCAGUGGGGCUUUGACAGCCUUAACCAACGGGUUGCCAUUGAGCUACCAGGAAAGUAGAGCCUCAGCAGCAGGAAGGACGAAGUAAGGAGUAGUGUGGCAGCUCUAGGGAGGACACAGACAGUGAGAGCAAUGGUGGCGGUAAGACAGCAAGUUGCAGGAAGAAUUUGGAGACCAUAGCAAUCCUGUCCAAGACCGGAUAUGAGUCUGCAAUAUACCAUCUAAAGCUAAGUUUUUAAUGAUUUCGCUUCAGUUUUACUUGCUUUUAUUUUUCUCAUUUGUUUUGCUUGUAUUUUUCUCAUUUGCAAGUCGCUUUGGAUAAAAGCGUCUGCUAAGUGAAUAAAUGUAAAUGUACUGCACAUUAAAACCACAUUUGCAGGAAAAUGUUCAAUCUUGAUCUAAUUUUGAUUUCCAGCAACCAGCCAAUUGAAGUCAGAAUUUCUGAGAUCAAGUGUGCUACAAUGCUGAUGGAUGUGCUAAUUUCAUUCUGUAAGGUUUAGGCUAUAUCCAGCCUGUAGGCCGUGCCAGAUCCAGCGGCCAGAUGGCAGGAGAUGCUUCAUUAGACCACUGAAUACAUCUAAUCAUUGGAUUAUCAAUUA